Molecule: ribosomal RNA, 576 nt
Filed under: uncultured eukaryote
Lineage: Eukaryota
Description: SSU rRNA
Rfam family: Eukaryotic small subunit ribosomal RNA
Source: RNAcentral
CUGGAAGGGGUGUAUUUAUUAGAUAAAAAUCAACACUGUUGGUGAAUCAUGAUAACUUCUCGGAUCGCAUGGCCUCGUGCUGGCGAUACUUCAUUCAAAUAUCUGCCCUAUCAACUGUCGAUGGUAGGAUAGAGGCCUACCAUGGUUGCAACGGGUAACGGGGAAUAAGGGUUCGAUUCCGGAGAGGGAGCCUGAGAAACGGCUACCACAUCCAAGGAAGGCAGCAGGCGCGCAAAUUACCCAAUCCCGACACGGGGAGGUAGUGACAAUAUGUAACAAUAUACGGCUUUAUCGUCGUAUAAUUGGAAUGAGUACAAUUUAAAUCCCUUAACGAGGAACAAUUGGAGGGCAAGUCUGGUGCCAGCAGCCGCGGUAAUUCCAGCUCCAAUAGCGUAUAUUAAAGUUGUUGCAGUUAAAAAGCUCGUAGUUGGACCUUGGGCCUGGACGGGCGGUCCGCCUCACGGCGUGUACUGUCUUGCCGGGCCUUUCCUCUUGGUGAUCUGUUGUUUCGGCAGCAGGGAACCAGGACCUUUACUUUGAAAAAAUUAGAGUGUUCAAAGCAGGCUCGACGCCGGA